CAGUAGCCGCGGUAAUACGAAGGGGGCUAGCGUUGCUCGGAAUGACUGGGCGUAAAGGGCGCGUAGGCGGAUUGCGCAGUCAGAUGUGAAAUUCCUGGGCUUAACCUGGGGGCUGCAUUUGAGACGCGUAGUCUAGAGUGUGAAAGAGGGUCGUGGAAUUCCCAGUGUAGAGGUGAAAUUCGUAGAUACUGGGAAGAACACCGGUGGCGAAGGCGGCGACCUGGUCCAUUACUGACGCUGAGGCGCGAAAGCGUGGGGAGCAAACAGGAUUAGAUACCCCCGUAGUCCCUGUCUCUUAUAC
RNAcentral lists this ribosomal RNA (301 nucleotides) under uncultured bacterium. RNAcentral's name for it is "partial 16S ribosomal RNA". It matches the Rfam family "Bacterial small subunit ribosomal RNA", at positions 509 to 807 of the family's 1533-position model. The record is from RNAcentral.